RNAcentral lists this small RNA (1005 nucleotides) under Penicillium rubens. Its description in RNAcentral is "eukaryotic LSU rRNA". The stretch from base 529 to 1005 matches the Rfam family "Eukaryotic large subunit ribosomal RNA", at positions 1 to 471 of the family's 3401-position model. The record is from RNAcentral. Lineage: Eukaryota; Fungi; Ascomycota; Eurotiomycetes; Eurotiales; Aspergillaceae.
UCCGUAGGUGAACCUGCGGAAGGAUCAUUACCGAGUGAGGGCCCUCUGGGUCCAACCUCCCACCCGUGUUUAUUUUACCUUGUUGCUUCGGCGGGCCCGCCUUAACUGGCCGCCGGGGGGCUUACGCCCCCGGGCCCGCGCCCGCCGAAGACACCCUCGAACUCUGUCUGAAGAUUGUAGUCUGAGUGAAAAUAUAAAUUAUUUAAAACUUUCAACAACGGAUCUCUUGGUUCCGGCAUCGAUGAAGAACGCAGCGAAAUGCGAUACGUAAUGUGAAUUGCAAAUUCAGUGAAUCAUCGAGUCUUUGAACGCACAUUGCGCCCCCUGGUAUUCCGGGGGGCAUGCCUGUCCGAGCGUCAUUUCUGCCCUCAAGCACGGCUUGUGUGUUGGGCCCCGUCCUCCGAUCCCGGGGGACGGGCCCGAAAGGCAGCGGCGGCACCGCGUCCGGUCCUCGAGCGUAUGGGGCUUUGUCACCCGCUCUGUAGGCCCGGCCGGCGCUUGCCGAUCAACCCAAAUUUUUAUCCAGGUUGACCUCGGAUCAGGUAGGGAUACCCGCUGAACUUAAGCAUAUCAAUAAGCGGAGGAAAAGAAACCAACACGGAUUGCCCCAGUUACGGUCAAUGAAACGGUUAGAGCUCAAAUUUGAAAGCUGGCUCCUUCGGGGUCCGCAUUGUAAAUUGUCAGGAUGCUUCGGGAACGGUCCCCAUCUAAGUGCCCUGGAACGGGACAUCAUAGAAGGUGAGAAUCCCGUAUGGAAUGGGGAUGUCCGCGCCCGUGUGAAGAUCCUUCAACGAGUCCAGUUGUAUGGGAAUGCAGCUCUAAAUGGGUGGAUAUUUCAUCUAAUGCUAAAUAUGGGGCGAGAGACCGAUAGCGCACAUGUGGUAGUGAUCUACAUGAUGAAACUCCCCUUGAAGAAAAGAGUUAAAAAGCACGUGAAAUUGUUGAAAGAGAAGCGCUUGCGACCAGACUCGCUCGCGGGGUCCAGCCGAGCAUUCGUGCCAGUGU